AACGAACGCUAGCGGCAUGCCUAACACAUGCAAGUCGAACGAGACCUUCGGGUCUAUUGGCGCACGUGUGCGUAACGCGUGGUAACCUGCCCUUAGGUUCGGAAUCACUCCCCGAAAGGUGUGCUAAUACCGGUUAAUGUCUUCCGACCAAAGAUUUAUCGCCUUUGGGUGGGCCCGCGUUGGAUUCGCUGGUUGGUAGGGUAAAAGCCUACCAAGGCCACGAUCCAUAGCUGGUCGGAGAGGAUGAUAAACCACAAUGGGACUGAGACACGGCCCAGACUCGUACGGGAGGGAGCAGUGGGGAAUAUUGGACAAUGGGGGAAAGCCUGAUAAAGCAAUGCCGGGGGAGUGAUGAAGGGCUUAGGGUUGUAAAGCUCUUUUACCCGGGAUGAUAAUGACAGUACCGGGAGAAUAAGCACCGGCUAACUCCGUG
RNAcentral lists this ribosomal RNA (433 nucleotides) under uncultured bacterium. RNAcentral describes it as "partial 16S ribosomal RNA". It matches the Rfam family "Bacterial small subunit ribosomal RNA", at positions 29 to 507 of the family's 1533-position model. The record is from RNAcentral.